This 626-nucleotide ribosomal RNA is filed under the name uncultured bacterium. Its description in RNAcentral is "bacterial SSU rRNA". It matches the Rfam family "Bacterial small subunit ribosomal RNA", at positions 338 to 1331 of the family's 1533-position model. The record is from RNAcentral.
CCUACGGGAGGCAGCAGUGGGGAAUAUUGCGCAAUGGGGGAAACCCUGACGCAGCAACGCCGCGUGAGUGAGGAAGGACUUCGGUCUGUAAAGCUCUGUUAAUGUGGAAAAAUGGUAAUUGGUCUAAUAGGCCGAUUAUUUGAUGGUACACAUAGAGGGAGCACCGGCUAACUUCGUGCCAGCAGCCGCGGUAAUACGAAGGGUGCAAGCGUUGUUCGGAUUUAUUGGGCGUAAAGCGCGCGUAGGCGGACCUGUAAGUCAGAUGUGAAAUCUCGGGGCUCAACCCCGAAACUGCGUCUGAAACUGCAGGUCUAGAAUCUUGGAGGGGGAAGGGGAAUUUCGCAUGUAGGGGUAAAAUCCGUAGAUAUGCGAAGGAACACCAGAGGCGAAGGCGCCUUCCUGGACAAGUAUUGACGCUGAGGCGCGAAAGCGUGGGGAUCAAACAGGAUUAGAUACCCUGGCAGUCCACGCUGUAAACGAUGAAUACUAGGUAUUGGAGGAUUUGACCCCUUNAGUGCCGUAGCUAACGCGUUAAGUAUUCCGCCGUGGGAAGUACGGUCGCAAGACUUAAAACGUUAAAGAGUAGUUAGGAGUGNGAGAGCGACGACGACGACGAGGAGGAGGAG